This 467-nucleotide ribosomal RNA is filed under the name uncultured bacterium. Its description in RNAcentral is "bacterial SSU rRNA". It matches the Rfam family "Bacterial small subunit ribosomal RNA", at positions 329 to 793 of the family's 1533-position model. The record is from RNAcentral.
GACCAGACUCCUACGGGAGGCAGCAGUGAGGAAUAUUGGUCAAUGGCCGAGAGGCUGAACCAGCCAAGUCGCGUGAGGGAAGACGGCCCUACGGGUUGUAAACCUCUUUUGUCGGGGAGCAAAGCGAGUCACGUGUGACUCAUUGAGAGUACCCGAAGAAAAAGCAUCGGCUAACUCCGUGCCAGCAGCCGCGGUAAUACGGAGGAUGCGAGCGUUAUCCGGAUUUAUUGGGUUUAAAGGGAGCGUAGGCCGGCUUUUAAGUCAGCUGUGAAAGUCCGCGGCUCAACCGUGGAAUUGCAGUUGAAACUGGAGGCCUUGAGUGCACACAGGGAUGCCGGAAUUCAUGGUGUAGCGGUGAAAUGCUUAGAUAUCAUGAAGAACUCCGAUCGCGAAGGCAGCAUACCGGCGCCCAACUGACGCUGAAGCACGAAAGCGUGGGUAUCGAACAGGAUUAGAUACCCGUGUAC